RNAcentral lists this ribosomal RNA (446 nucleotides) under uncultured bacterium. Its description in RNAcentral is "bacterial SSU rRNA". It matches the Rfam family "Bacterial small subunit ribosomal RNA", at positions 28 to 505 of the family's 1533-position model. The record is from RNAcentral.
GAUAAACGCUGGUGGCGUGCCUAACACAUGCAAGUCGAACGAGCCUUCGGGCUAGUGGCAAACGGGUGAGUAAUAAAUAAGUAACCUGCCUUUAAGUCUGGGAUAACUUUUCGAAAGGGAAGCUAAUACCGGAUACACUCAAUUUUUCAUAAGAAUUAUUGAGGAAAGUUUUUUCGCUUAUAGAGGGGCUUAUUUCUGAUUAGUUUGUUGGUGGGGUAAUGGCCUACCAAGACUACGAUCAGUAGCUGGUCUGAGAGGACGAACAGUCACACUGGAACUGAGACACGGUCCAGACUCCUACGGGAGGCAGCAGUGAGGAAUAUUGCGCAAUGGGCGAAAGCCUGACGCAGCGACGCCACGUGAGCGAUGAAGUCUUUAGGGAUGUAAAGCUCUGUCAAGAGGAACGAUUAUGACGGUACCUCUAAAGGAAGCCCCGGCUAACUACG